GACGAACGCUGGCGGCGUGCCUAAUACAUGCAAGUUGAGCGCUGAAGGUUGGUACUUGUACCAACUGGAUGAGCAGCGAACGGGUGAGUAACGCGUGGGGAAUCUGCCUUUGAGCGGGGGACAACAUUGGGAAACGAAUGCUAAUACCGCAUAAAAACUUUAAACACAAGUUUUAAGUUUGAAAGAUGCAAUUGCAUCACUCAAAGAUGAUCCCGCGUUGUAUUAGCUAGUUGGUGAGGUAAAGGCUCACCAAGGCGAUGAUACAUAGCCGACCUGAGAGGGUGAUUGGCCACAUUGGGACUGAGACACGGCCCAAACGCCUACGGGAGGCAGCAGUAGGGAAUCUUCGGCAAUGGACGAAAGUCUGACCGAGCAACGCCGCGUGAGUGAAGAAGGUUUUCGGAUCGUAAAACUCUGUUGGUAGAGAAGAACGUUGGUGAGAGUGGAAAGCUCAUCAAGUGACGGUAACUACCCAGAAAGGGACGGCUAACUACGUG
This 497-nucleotide ribosomal RNA is filed under the name uncultured bacterium. Its description in RNAcentral is "partial 16S ribosomal RNA". It matches the Rfam family "Bacterial small subunit ribosomal RNA", at positions 28 to 507 of the family's 1533-position model. The record is from RNAcentral.